UGAGGAAUAUUGGUCAAUGGGCGAGAGCCUGAACCAGCCAAGUAGCGUGCAGGAAGACGGCCCUAUGGGUUGUAAACUGCUUAUAUGUGGGGAUAAAGUGCGUGACGUGUCAUGCAUUGCAGGUACCACAUGAAUAAGGACCGGCUAAUUCCGUGCCAGCAGCCGCGGUAAUACGGAAGGUUCGGGCGUUAUCCGGAUUUAUUGGGUUUAAAGGGAGCGUAGGCCGUUUGGUAAGCGUGUUGUGAAAUGUAGGAGCUCAACUUCUAGAUUGCAGCGCGAACUGUCAGACUUGAGUGCGCACAACGUAGGCGGAAUUCAUGGUGUGGCGGUGAAAUGCUUAGAUAUCAUGAAGAACUCCGAUUGCGAAGGCAGCUUACGGGAGCGCAACUGACGCUGAAGCUCGAAGGUGCGGGUAUCGAACAGG
This 424-nucleotide ribosomal RNA is filed under the name Verrucomicrobiota bacterium. RNAcentral's name for it is "Verrucomicrobia bacterium partial 16S ribosomal RNA". It matches the Rfam family "Bacterial small subunit ribosomal RNA", at positions 355 to 776 of the family's 1533-position model. Lineage: Bacteria; Pseudomonadati; Verrucomicrobiota. The record is from RNAcentral.